GAUGAACGCUGGCGGCGUGCUUAGCACAUGCAAGUCGAACGGAAAGGCUCCUGCUUGCAGGGGUACUUGAGUGGCGAACGGGUGAGUAACACGUGGGUGAUCUGCCCUGCACUUCGGGAUAAGCCUGGGAAACUGGGUCUAAUACCGGAUAGGACGAUGGUUUGGAUGCCAUUGUGGAAAGUUUUUCGGUGUGGGAUGAGCUCGCGGCCUAUCAGCUUGUUGGUGGGGUAAUGGCCUACCAAGGCGUCGACGGGUAGCCGGCCUGAGAGGGUGUACGGCCACAUUGGGACUGAGAUACGGCCCAGACUCCUACGGGAGGCAGCAGUGGGGAAUAUUGCACAAUGGGCGCAAGCCUGAUGCAGCGACGCCGCGUGGGGGAUGACGGCCUUCGGGUUGUAAACUCCUUUCGCUAGGGACGAAGCGCAAGUGACGGUACCUGGAGAAGAAGCACCGGCUAACUACGUG
RNAcentral lists this ribosomal RNA (465 nucleotides) under uncultured bacterium. RNAcentral's name for it is "partial 16S ribosomal RNA". It matches the Rfam family "Bacterial small subunit ribosomal RNA", at positions 28 to 507 of the family's 1533-position model. The record is from RNAcentral.